UGCUCUCAGAGCGAGAGCCAUGAAGAUGCAGACAGCUGGCUAGCCAACACCGAAAUGUUUCCCCUGUUUGAAUUAGUUCGACUUUUCACUGUGAGGGACGACUACGAUUCCAGGAACUCCCCAACUAUUGUUCGCUAUGCAUACAAAGAAGCGGGCGAAGUUAACCUGCUGGCACUUGCCUGCACCAAUGGAUAUGUCCUCCUUAGGUACAGUAGUGGAAAUGGAAAACCUCCCACCACUCACCAGUUACCAUGGCCACAGGAUAAACCUAUCAGCUCAAUGUGUUUCGACCCUACUGUGACCUGGCUCCUGGUCCUAGCAGAAGAUGCCACCCUGUUCAUCAUACCAGCACUGCCUAUCAUGGAUCCAACUGCUAAAGUCAACCAACUGUGGCGAGAAGAUGAUGUCACCAUAACGAAGGUUAAGCGACCCAAAGGCGUUCCUACUGCCCUCCUCUGGUGGCACACACUGGAUGACCGACAGAUAGCCAUCAUUGGCACAAAGAUUGGAGAAAUAAUCUUUGUGGAUCUGGUUACAAGGAAGACGUUGUAUGAUAUCAACUGUGACUGUAAAAUCAUGCAGAUUGACAUCGUGGAAGAUGACCAGCAGAUGACCACUAACCUUCUGAUUACGGACCAGUCAGGUGUCCAGUGGAAGUUACUGUUAGAGAGCCGUACACAUGAGAUUUUGUCCCUACCAGACAAGGAGCUCCUUGACCUAGGGUACAACACUGUAGAUGGAAGGAACCUCCCUAUAAUCAGCAUCACCACUCCUUCGGAUCAAACCAGAGACCUGUUUCUGCCACUGAGGUUUUACCAGUUCCAGCGAUCUGUGUUCCUGUCGCCACAGUAUGCCAAGGGACGCCAUUUUGUGGCUGCUCAUUGUGACAAGACAAACACAUAUCAGAUUUAUGACAGUGAUGUGGAACACAAUCCUCUGUUUGUGUACAAGUUACCGUUCGGUGCUUACAACGUCAUCCUGACGGACAAAGUGAUAUUUACUACGACACGACUUGGUGGGGAGAAGAGAUUGCUUGUGAUAGCUAACCAAAGGGCUGAAACCUCAGUGGACGAUCAACAGGAUUUCAACAAGGAUGCAGUCUUACAGCAGUUUGAUCUUCCCCAAGAGGAGCACCUGUUGACUGUCCUAAAGAAGUCCUAUCCUUUCUACUGGCAUGACAAACGUGAGGAAGAUCUGUGUCAGAAGAUGGCUCAGGACAUACAGCUAGGUCUGAGGCGGACCAACAGAGCUGGGCCAAACAUCCUACCAUUGACCGCAUACGACAUGCAUGUCACGAGUCACACAGUGCUCAAUGGCUGCGUCAUCAUCACAGGGUCGUCUGUGUAUGAAUGUAGGCCCAGGAUAUCACCAGAGCGGCUGUUUCUACAGAUGGCAGUCCAGCAGCUUGACCACUCCCGAACGGAGAUCCUUGGUAUAGGUCUUGGCCUUGACCUCAAUACGCUGUAUGAAGUGUCCGCUGAACAUGUGCUAAAGAGCAAGGAUUUCACACAAGCCAUCAGACUCUACAAGCUCUCAAAGUGUUCCCAUGCCAGGAGAGUGGCAAACUUUGCACAGUACGGUUGUGUUCAAGAGGUACUGACCUACGCCAGACAAGUAUUGUGUGGUCAGAACCAGGACAUCAACACCAGUGAAAGGAAGCAGCUGACCGACCUGGCCAUACACUGUUUUGUACACCAGAUACAGGAACAUUCUGGCGACAAGGCACAACUCGAGCAGUCUUUUCUUGAGUUUCUCAUCACCAACUUUUCGUAUGAAGAAAGCUUGGCUCUUUCUUUGCUAUCAGAAAAUGGUCUGAUCUAUAUCCUACUGGAACUUGCUAAGGCUCGCGGCUUAGUGAUGGAGGCAUUGGACUUGUUGGCCAAAAACGAUUACACCAGACUAGACAAUCCUGUGGUGGACAGUCUGGUCAGCAAGGGCUUCACCAACCACCUAGUUCAGGCAGCCAAAGGUACGUUUUUCCAGUCACUGUCUCCCCAGUACAGGACCGAGAUCCUGUGCUCCAAGCCUCAACUGGCCCUUCAGCAUUACGCCAUGAUACAGGACAGCAUAGCCGACCUCAGAGUGGACACGCUGGAAAACCUUGCCAACAUUUUUGACCCCUCAAGGGUUAGCCUGAGGAACCACAUAUCUAAACAUAUGAUUUCCAAGAAAAGAACUGCAAGUAUCUCCUCUCUGACCUCCCAAUGUAGUGAUGGAGAAGCUGGCCCAAUGGAGAAUACCCUGCCUGAGGCAUCAAAGUUGGUGGAUUUUUUUGUCACCAUAAUUUUACAACUCAAUAGUAAACGUGACAAAUCUGGAGACAUUCCCAACGCUGAGGAGGUACUUACCAUGAACUCCAACGAUAUAUCUAAACAGUCUCCCGAAGAAAAUUUGAAAGUGAAAGUCCGAAAGUUGACCUGUCGACCAGUACCACUUGGUGCCGGACAUCAACAUGUGGCUUUAGUGCGCAACGGUGACCUAUACACCUGGGGUCGCACUUCCCACGGCAGGUUGGGCCACGGAGACCUGGCUCCAGACAACACUGUAUCUCCCCCCUGUAGGGUGGAAACUCUCCACAUGCUCCAGGUUCGGGUCAUCUCCGUAGCUUGUGGCGGUGAACACACGCUAGCCCUCACACAGCAGGGGGUGUUUGCGUGGGGGUCAUCCCAGUAUGGUCAGGUUGGAAUCGGUACGAGACAUAUCUACAGCCGACCCAUGCAGGUCAACAAGCUCUCGUCCGUCCAGUGUGUGAGUGUGGAGACCGGUCAAUAUCACUCCCUGGCUCUGACUGUUGAUGGAGAAGUUUAUAGCUGGGGCUGGGGAGUUCAUGGACAGCUCGGUCAUGGUAGUAUAGAGGACGCUUUGGUCCCGUCCCACGUACAGGCACUGUCAGACAAACAGAUCAUCAGGGUGUGUGGAGGAUACUGUCAUACCGUGGCCCUCUCCUCUGAGGGAGAGGUGUACUCGUUUGGGUGUGGAUUCUUUGGCCAGCUUGGUUUGGCAACAAACAAAAAACAGACAUUACCAGUGAGAAUACACGCUUUGAAGGGGAAGGUGGUCUUAGUCAGCACCAAGUUCUUCCACAAUAUCGCAGUCACGCAGAGUAACCAUGUGUUCUCCUGGGGUUGCCAUCCAUUCAACCUCCGAUUUGCGGCACAUUCCAUCCGUAAGGCACGCCAGGCCGGUGCUGUGGUCGGGGAUCCUGUCGACCACUUCCUACUGCCAGAUCUAGUCGACACCUGCUUUGUACAUGGCCGUAUUACCCAGGCUGUUUGUGGCAGCUCCCACUCGGCACUGGUCACUUUGGACGGAGACGUGUAUACCUGGGGUAGAAACAUGGACGGACAGAUCGGAAACAACACAAGACAGGACAUGAAAAUUCCGAGUAUGGUGACUAAUAUAAAUGAUCGCAGUGUGACACACAUCACCAUUGGAGGAGAGUUCAACAUCGCACAGGACUCCGACGGACUUGUCUGGGGCUGGGGAAAGAAUGACAUGGGUCAGGUAAAACAGGAGAAGUUAGAACCGUCCCCCACCACCUCCACCCACAAGGUCAUCAAGACCCACAACAGACGGCGCGCAGGUAGUGGCAUCACUGAGCUCCUUUUACCCACGGUCUGUCAGGGAUUUCCGAAUGCCAAACCAACUUCAUCACUAUGGCGACCAUCUCAUCUGACAAGGUCCGGGUCAUAUGAUGGUUCAGAUGGAGAAACAUGGUGGUCUGAGGACAACCAAGAUGACGUCCAGUUAGAUCUUCUUCCUGACCUCCAAUCACUUGGCAACAGAAAGUAUGGCCGUAUCACCAUACAUGAAGUCUUACAGCACCUGUCUGAGUUGUGUAACUGUAUGAAGAUACUGCGACAGUGUGUGAACGUUGAAGACUGGCUCAGUGCUGCCUAUGUCUGUCUCUACCAAAACAAUUAUGCACAGGCCCUGGCCUUCCAUCUGAAGGCACUGUCCUCCUACUCCAUGGUGUUUGGCAGUGAUUUCCUACAGAGUACGGAGAGAGUCGUCCAGCACUAUCUCAGACUUUGUAUAACACAAGAGCUGCCAGCCUCCCAGAAAGAGGAGAACUACAGACUUGUCCUUAUACAGAUGCUGGAACACUGGGAGAAACAUGACUUGUCUGUCAGCAGUCUGGAGGUUUUACUGGCGGACCACAUGGACAGUGUGUGCUGUAUUCUCAGUACAUUCCUUUUCUGGAAAAAUCCAAGGACUGAUGAUGGAGGAGAGACCAUGGAAAUGCCGAUUUGCAUAGGCGUUUCUGGCCAAUUUAUGAUGCAUUUUACUACUAAGUUCUGUCUCCAUGUCCUCCAAAAGGUCUUUGAUAAAAUGCUUCUCUCCGACUUUGAAAAGAGAUACCCAGUCAGUUACGGAUCAUUAAAAAGAUUACUGACCUGUCGGAUAGGGUCAAGCGAAUCCGACCUUGACCUUCAGCCAGGUGAUAAACUUGUACCGUUCGAUCAACUGUGGCAAGAUGUGGUUCGAAACCUUCAAAAGGGUUCAGAAUCACGUGACUAUAUAUACAUCACGCGAACAGAUAUUGAUCACAUGACGGAGAAACUUGGGCAGACCCAAGGACCGCAGUCCAUCCAGGAGGAAGUGAACUCACAGGAGCCAAAUGCGGUGCUGUUCACAUGUGGUCACCACUAUACACGACGGAACUUCAUGGAUGAAGUGACGGUCAAGUUCAACAAGGAGCUCUCCCAGGGCCCGUCCAGCCUCCCGGGGAGUGCUUCUCUAUUGAUGCAGUACUACUGUAGGCAGGGAUUACUUCCCCUGGCUUGUCCAAAGUGUGUACUUAAUACACUGCAUACUGCAAUGUAGGUUUCAUUCCAUGGGUCUGAUUAGGUCAGUAGUUAACUCAAACAUUCACCCCCACAUGUUUAAACUGGACUUACCAAGUCUUUGAUUUGGUAAGGUUCAAAUGUGACUUUAGGGGUGAAUGAGUUGAGGAUGGAUGUUUAGUGUUUUUUAGCAGUAUUUUACUGUUUAAAAGAUAUGAAGCUUUAUGGUUAUUUUUCAAGCAUCCAUGAAGUUCUGACCUUUUUAUUAAUACCACUAAUGAAAUAGAAUUCUGAGGAUCAGUGGCAAAAUAAUGCCAAAUAUUUUUUGACUUACAUUGGGCCAAUAAAAAAUAAGCUGCCCUAUAACGCUUAUAUUAUACCUGUCAUGCUGUUUGCAGUGAACAAAAAGAUGAAAGCUAUGGUAGUGGAUGUAUAUAGUUGACUGUUAAUAUCAAGGCAAGGUAAAGCCUGAAAAUCCUUGAUAUGAAAGUAGACCCGUCCUUCCUAUACAACACAAACUGACCAUGUGCCACAAGUUUCUUACAUACUGUCCUGAUUGGAUUGUGAAGGGUAGCAAAUUGCGAAGGAUUGCUUAAAUGUAUCUUACUGUUUGUAUGCCACAUAAAAGGUUUUUAAUGCAUUAUAUAUAACAGAAAUGUUUGUCAAUAAUGCUUGAAAAUACUGAAAAUCAGAGGCUACAUAUUUUAAGGUAGUCAGUGUUACUUUUAAACCUGAUUGAUUUAUCAAAGGGUCAAGUGAUUUAAAUGAAAUUAUAUCAAGAUUCUAUUUAUUCAAAUGUAUUUGACGCACUGCAUGUUGAGGAAGCCUAAGAUAUUUUUUCUGAUUUCUAUGAUUGUCAAAAUAUCCCCAAUUUUUCAAUGUUUAUUUACCUUGGUGCUUUGUGAAUUGUGUUACCAUUUCUCCCCAAUGAAUUGGUUACCAUGUUUUUUUACAAGAUUUACAGAGAUUUACAUAUGAUUGUAAUUAGAAUAAGUGAUGAUCAAUUAUCAUGUUUAUCUAAAGAUUUAAACUUUAUUGUUAUUUCAACUUAAAUACUCUUGUUGGCCCGAGUGUAAGUGCACGGGGUGGGGUUAAUGUGUGAGGAAACCGGAGUACCCAGAGAAAACCUUCAUGGUAGGGUAGGUGAUCCCAUACCUUUUCACGUCCAAUCAGGGAAUCUGACCCUAGCCACCUUGGUGAAAGGCGGGUGUAUCUUUAACUGCGGGAUACGACCACCUAUAGAGUAAGUUGUAGAGGUUCUCCGAGAUUUAAGGCCAGUAAUCAUGUUAUCUAAGUGGAAUUAGUCAAAGAGGUUCCCCACAAUGUGAUGUUUGGUUAUGACUUUGCUAUAAAUCUUAUUAAUUGUUUGAUAUUUUAAAAGGCACAAGAUUUACCAAAGGUAUUUGAAAAUCUGAAAUCAAAUAAUGAGAAUUAGUUAAAUAUGACAGUCAAUACUCACGAGUUGGGGAUCUGUUUUCUCCCUUUAGCAUUUAUAAUUUGUUUAAAUCAAUGAAUUUCUACAAAAAUGUACUUCCCAGCUUGAAAAAAAAAUAGGCAUUAUUUUCUUAUAUAUGUGUUUAAUAUGAUGUCACAAAACUUUGUGAAUGUUCUAAGUUCACACAAAGAUUGUUAUUAACAAACGACAAAGCUCCCAAUGAGUUACCCACAUAUGGGUACAUGUAUAUCAUAUGUUUAACCUAAGUGUUGCAGUUGUGUAAUUAUGGAAGAAAAUUCAUGCUAGAAAGUUUUACUGGUUGUGUCCAGGUACAGAGGCCAGCUAUUGAUUGAUAGGGGAAAUUUACUCCAGGUUGAUAUGAAAUUUACUCCAGGUGGAUAUGAAAUCUACUCCAGGUGGAUAUGAAAUUUACUCCAGGUGGAUAUGAAAUCUACUCCAGGUUGAUAUGAAAUUUACUCCAGGUUGAUACGAAAUUUACUCCAGGUGGAUAUGAAAUCUACUCCAGGUGGAUAUGAAAUCUACUCCAGGUGGAUAUGAAAUCCACUCCAGGUGGAUAUGAAAUUUACUCCAGGUGGAUAUGACUUAGUAUUAUUAGCUUAUAUCAGUUCCACCUUUCCAAUAACUUCUAGCUUUAAACUUUUGUAACUUAUACAAAACUGUUGGCAUGUCAUGGUUCAUGGAUAUUCCUAGCUAAUGGUUACCUUACCAAUCAUAGUAUAUUCUAAUUGCAAAUAUCUCAUAAGGAUAUUUAAUAAUUAGUUUAAUGCUAUGUUACAAACUUUUUAUAAUUCUUCCAUAUUUUUUGAAAGACUGCAAUAAUUCUAUGAAACUUUCUUUAAAACUAAUAUUUACUACCACUACAUGGUGUUCUGUGUACCAUUUUCAAGUCUUACAUCUGAACGUCAAGGUCACAAUAUUUUUUUCAGAUGUAUGUGUUGCAACUACUUAAAUUGUGAGAGAGCUGGAUUAUGGGGACAAUUUAGGACUGACUGUAGACUACUGUGACUGGAGGUGUCGACAGUGAAGAGGAUACAUCAUACUUGCCAUCAUUAGUUCCCCACCGGUUCUUUAUUUUGACCUCUGACUGCAAUCAUUGGAAAAAUAGCCCUUUUCUGUAUCAGGAUACUUUCUGUACUGUAGGUUGAUACUGAGAUAGGUGUACAGCUCGGUAAGAAAUCAUUACCGGUGGGGGACUAGUACAGCUCGGUAAG
Molecule: unclassified non-coding RNA, 7454 nt
Filed under: Mizuhopecten yessoensis (Yesso scallop)
Lineage: Eukaryota; Metazoa; Mollusca; Bivalvia; Pectinida; Pectinidae
Description: uncharacterized LOC110461685, transcript variant X1
Source: RNAcentral